RNAcentral lists this ribosomal RNA (482 nucleotides) under uncultured bacterium. RNAcentral describes it as "partial 16S ribosomal RNA". It matches the Rfam family "Bacterial small subunit ribosomal RNA", at positions 30 to 507 of the family's 1533-position model. The record is from RNAcentral.
AUUGAACGCUGGCGGCAUGCCUUACACAUGCAAGUCGAACGGUAACGGGCCUUCGGGUGCCGACGAGUGGCGAACGGGUGAGUAAUACAUCGGAACGUGCCCGAUCGUGGGGGAUAACGAGGCGAAAGCUUUGCUAAUACCGCAUACGAUCUACGGACGAAAGCAGGGGACCGCAAGGCCUUGCGCGGACGGAGCGGCCGAUGGCAGAUUAGGUAGUUGGUGGGAUAAAAGCUUACCAAGCCGACGAUCUGUAGCUGGUCUGAGAGGAUGAUCAGCCACACUGGGACUGAGACACGGCCCAGACUCCUACGGGAGGCAGCAGUGGGGAAUUUUGGACAAUGGGCGCAAGCCUGAUCCAGCCAUGCCGCGUGCAGGAUGAAGGCCUUCGGGUUGUAAACUGCUUUUGUACGGAACGAAAAGCCUUCUUUGAAUACAGGAGGGUCAUGACGGUACCGUAAGAAUAAGCACCGGCUAACUACGUG